AUUCGAAAAGGUAAACCCAUCGCGAGGUGGGGGCGCAAAGUCAUGGGUCUAUAGAACUAGAUCGCCAGACUGCCGAAG
This 78-nucleotide non-coding RNA is filed under the name Chloroflexota bacterium. RNAcentral describes it as "Chloroflexi bacterium c-di-GMP sequence". It matches the Rfam family "c-di-GMP-I-GGC riboswitch aptamer". Lineage: Bacteria; Bacillati; Chloroflexota. The record is from RNAcentral.